This 321-nucleotide ribosomal RNA is filed under the name Triticum aestivum (bread wheat). RNAcentral's name for it is "partial small subunit ribosomal RNA". The record is from RNAcentral. Lineage: Eukaryota; Viridiplantae; Streptophyta; Magnoliopsida; Poales; Poaceae.
AUGCAUGUUUGUGCCAAAAGCAGGCACUGGCGUUCUGAAAAAAUGUUGUAUUUGUUGUUGCGUGUAUUGGCAGACGCAUAUAUAGGAGUACGUGGUGAGCUGCACCGUCGGCUGUGCCUUUGUUCCCCACUUCCGUCGGCUGUGCCUCUGUUCCCCACUUCCGUCAGCUUGUUUUUUUGUGUAGAGAAACAAACUGGACGACAUGUCUCCAGUAGAUUCAGAGCAGUUGGCCGUAGAACAUGGCGGCGACAGGACUUCCCGCUCUUUGUCUCCGACGAAAUGGACUUCCCGCUGGGUCCAAUUAGCACGAGUCGAGCUUAA